This 2902-nucleotide ribosomal RNA is filed under the name Shigella flexneri. RNAcentral describes it as "23S ribosomal RNA". It matches the Rfam family "Bacterial large subunit ribosomal RNA". The record is from RNAcentral. Lineage: Bacteria; Pseudomonadati; Pseudomonadota; Gammaproteobacteria; Enterobacterales; Enterobacteriaceae.
GGUUAAGCGACUAAGCGUACACGGUGGAUGCCCUGGCAGUCAGAGGCGAUGAAGGACGUGCUAAUCUGCGAUAAGCGUCGGUAAGGUGAUAUGAACCGUUAUAACCGGCGAUUUCCGAAUGGGGAAACCCAGUGUGAUUCGUCACACUAUCAUUAACUGAAUCCAUAGGUUAAUGAGGCGAACCGGGGGAACUGAAACAUCUAAGUACCCCGAGGAAAAGAAAUCAACCGAGAUUCCCCCAGUAGCGGCGAGCGAACGGGGAGCAGCCCAGAGCCUGAAUCAGUGUGUGUGUUAGUGGAAGCGUCUGGAAAGGCGUGCGAUACAGGGUGACAGCCCCGUACACAAAAAUGCACAUACUGUGAGCUCGAUGAGUAGGGCGGGACACGUGGUAUCCUGUCUGAAUAUGGGGGGACCAUCCUCCAAGGCUAAAUACUCCUGACUGACCGAUAGUGAACCAGUACCGUGAGGGAAAGGCGAAAAGAACCCCGGCGAGGGGAGUGAAAAAGAACCUGAAACCGUGUACGUACAAGCAGUGGGAGCACGCUUAGGCGUGUGACUGCGUACCUUUUGUAUAAUGGGUCAGCGACUUAUAUUCUGUAGCAAGGUUAACCGAAUAGGGGAGCCGAAGGGAAACCGAGUCUUAACUGGGCGUUAAGUUGCAGGGUAUAGACCCGAAACCCGGUGAUCUAGCCAUGGGCAGGUUGAAGGUUGGGUAACACUAACUGGAGGACCGAACCGACUAAUGUUGAAAAAUUAGCGGAUGACUUGUGGCUGGGGGUGAAAGGCCAAUCAAACCGGGAGAUAGCUGGUUCUCCCCGAAAGCUAUUUAGGUAGCGCCUCGUGAAUUCAUCUCCGGGGGUAGAGCACUGUUUCGGCAAGGGGGUCAUCCCGACUUACCAACCCGAUGCAAACUGCGAAUACCGGAGAAUGUUAUCACGGGAGACACACGGCGGGUGCUAACGUCCGUCGUGAAGAGGGAAACAACCCAGACCGCCAGCUAAGGUCCCAAAGUCAUGGUUAAGUGGGAAACGAUGUGGGAAGGCCCAGACAGCCAGGAUGUUGGCUUAGAAGCAGCCAUCAUUUAAAGAAAGCGUAAUAGCUCACUGGUCGAGUCGGCCUGCGCGGAAGAUGUAACGGGGCUAAACCAUGCACCGAAGCUGCGGCAGCGACGCUUAUGCGUUGUUGGGUAGGGGAGCGUUCUGUAAGCCUGUGAAGGUGUGCUGUGAGGUAUGCUGGAGGUAUCAGAAGUGCGAAUGCUGACAUAAGUAACGAUAAAGCGGGUGAAAAGCCCGCUCGCCGGAAGACCAAGGGUUCCUGUCCAACGUUAAUCGGGGCAGGGUGAGUCGACCCCUAAGGCGAGGCCGAAAGGCGUAGUCGAUGGGAAACAGGUUAAUAUUCCUGUACUUGGUGUUACUGCGAAGGGGGACGGAGAAGGCUAUGUUGGCCGGGCGACGGUUGUCCCGGUUUAAGCGUGUAGGCUGGUUUUCCAGGCAAAUCCGGAAAAUCAAGGCCGAGGCGUGAUGACGAGGCACUACGGUGCUGAAGCAACAAAUGCCCUGCUUCCAGGAAAAGCCUCUAAGCAUCAGGUAACAUCAAAUCGUACCCCAAACCGACACAGGUGGUCAGGUAGAGAAUACCAAGGCGCUUGAGAGAACUCGGGUGAAGGAACUAGGCAAAAUGGUGCCGUAACUUCGGGAGAAGGCACGCUGAUACGUAGGUGAAGCGACUUGCUCGUGGAGCUGAAAUCAGUCGAAGAUACCAGCUGGCUGCAACUGUUUAUUAAAACACAGCACUGUGCAAACACGAAAGUGGACGUAUACGGUGUGACGCCUGCCCGGUGCCGGAAGGUUAAUUGAUGGGGUUAGCGCAAGCGAAGCUCUUGAUCGAAGCCCCGGUAAACGGCGGCCGUAACUAUAACGGUCCUAAGGUAGCGAAAUUCCUUGUCGGGUAAGUUCCGACCUGCACGAAUGGCGUAAUGAUGGCCAGGCUGUCUCCACCCGAGACUCAGUGAAAUUGAACUCGCUGUGAAGAUGCAGUGUACCCGCGGCAAGACGGAAAGACCCCGUGAACCUUUACUAUAGCUUGACACUGAACAUUGAGCCUUGAUGUGUAGGAUAGGUGGGAGGCUUUGAAGUGUGGACGCCAGUCUGCAUGGAGCCGACCUUGAAAUACCACCCUUUAAUGUUUGAUGUUCUAACGUGGACCCGUGAUCCGGGUUGCGGACAGUGUCUGGUGGGUAGUUUGACUGGGGCGGUCUCCUCCUAAAGAGUAACGGAGGAGCACGAAGGUUGGCUAAUCCCGGUCGGACAUCAGGAGGUUAGUGCAAUGGCAUAAGCCAGCUUGACUGCGAGCGUGACGGCGCGAGCAGGUGCGAAAGCAGGUCAUAGUGAUCCGGUGGUUCUGAAUGGAAGGGCCAUCGCUCAACGGAUAAAAGGUACUCCGGGGAUAACAGGCUGAUACCGCCCAAGAGUUCAUAUCGACGGCGGUGUUUGGCACCUCGAUGUCGGCUCAUCACAUCCUGGGGCUGAAGUAGGUCCCAAGGGUAUGGCUGUUCGCCAUUUAAAGUGGUACGCGAGCUGGGUUUAGAACGUCGUGAGACAGUUCGGUCCCUAUCUGCCGUGGGCGCUGGAGAACUGAGGGGGGCUGCUCCUAGUACGAGAGGACCGGAGUGGACGCAUCACUGGUGUUCGGGUUGUCAUGCCAAUGGCACUGCCCGGUAGCUAAAUGCGGAAGAGAUAAGUGCUGAAAGCAUCUAAGCACGAAACUUGCCCCGAGAUGAGUUCUCCCUGACCCUUUAAGGGUCCUGAAGGAACGUUGAAGACGACGACGUUGAUAGGCCGGGUGUGUAAGCGCAGCGAUGCGUUGAGCUAACCGGUACUAAUGAACCGUGAGGCUUAACCUU